GUGUGCUGCAGCUGGUGUUGUGAAUCAGGCCGAUGCCACACACCCGCUAUAACCCGGCUAUUUCACAACACCAGGGUGGCACUG
Molecule: microRNA precursor, 84 nt
Filed under: Salmo salar (Atlantic salmon)
Lineage: Eukaryota; Metazoa; Chordata; Actinopteri; Salmoniformes; Salmonidae
Source: RNAcentral